UAUGAGAGUUUGAUCCUGGCUCAGGAUGAACGCUGGCGAGAUGCCUUACACAUGCAAGUCGUACGAGAAUUUUUAAUUCAAGUGGCGGACGGGUGAGUAACACGUAAGAAUUUGCCUUUAGGAGGGGGAUAAUAACUGGAAACGGUUGCUAAUACCCCAUAUGCUUUCGAGUGAAAUGGAGUUUUCCGCCUAGAGAGAAGCUUGCGGCUGAUUAGCUUGUUGGUGGGGUAAUGGCCUACCAAGGCGACGAUCAGUAUCUGGUUUGAGAGGAUGAUCAGACACACUGGAACUGAGACACGGUCCAGACUCCUACGGGAGGCAGCAGUGAGGAAUAUUGGACAAUGAACGAAAGUUUGAUCCAGCAAUACUAACUGGGUGAUGACGGCUUAUCAAGUUGUAAGAUCCUUUAAUUAAGAAAGAUAAUGACAUUAUUUAAUUGAAUUAGUCCUGGCUAAUACUCGUGCCAGCAGCCGCGGUAAUACGGGAAGGGCAAGCGUUAUCCGGCAUGACUGGGCGUAAAGAGUCCGUAGACUGUAAAGUAAGUUUCUUGUUAAAUUUUAAGACCCAAUCUUAACAGAGCAAUUAAUACUGC
Molecule: ribosomal RNA, 592 nt
Filed under: Lingulaulax polyedra
Lineage: Eukaryota; Dinophyceae; Gonyaulacales; Lingulodiniaceae
Description: Lingulodinium polyedra partial Bacterial small subunit ribosomal RNA
Rfam family: Bacterial small subunit ribosomal RNA
Source: RNAcentral